RNAcentral lists this ribosomal RNA (460 nucleotides) under uncultured bacterium. Its description in RNAcentral is "partial 16S ribosomal RNA". It matches the Rfam family "Bacterial small subunit ribosomal RNA", at positions 338 to 795 of the family's 1533-position model. The record is from RNAcentral.
CCUACGGGUGGCAGCAGUGAGGAAUAUUGGUCAAUGGACGAGAGUCUGAACCAGCCAAGUAGCGUGAAGGAUGACUGCCCUAUGGAUUGUAAACUUCUUUUAUAUGGGAAUAAAACGUUCCACGUGUGGGAUUUUGUAUGUACCAUAUGAAUAAGGAUCGGCUAACUCCGUGCCAGCAGCCGCGGUAAUACGGAGGAUCCGAACGUUAUCCGGAUUUAUUGGGUUUAAAGGGCGCGGAGGUGGAUUUUUAAGUCAGUUGUGAAAGUUUUGUGUGCAAACGUAAAAUUGCAGUUGAAACUGGCAGUCUUGAGUACAGUAGAGGUGGGCGGAAUUCGUGGUGUAGCGGUGAAAUGCUUAGAUAUCACGAAGAACUCCGAUUGCGAAGGCAGUUCACUGGACUGCAACUGACACUGAGGCUCGAAAGUGUGGGUAUCAAACAGGAUUAGAUACCCGAGUAGUC